Molecule: transfer RNA, 90 nt
Filed under: Escherichia coli
Lineage: Bacteria; Pseudomonadati; Pseudomonadota; Gammaproteobacteria; Enterobacterales; Enterobacteriaceae
Description: tRNA-Ser
Rfam family: tRNA
About the family: Transfer RNA (tRNA) molecules are approximately 80 nucleotides in length. Their secondary structure includes four short double-helical elements and three loops (D, anti-codon, and T loops).
Source: RNAcentral
GGUGAGGUGUCCGAGUGGCUGAAGGAGCACGCCUGGAAAGUGUGUAUACGGCAACGUAUCGGGGGUUAUCGAAUCCCCCCCUCACCGCCA